This 207-nucleotide non-coding RNA is filed under the name Novosphingobium sp. Leaf2. Lineage: Bacteria; Pseudomonadati; Pseudomonadota; Alphaproteobacteria; Sphingomonadales; Sphingomonadaceae. The record is from RNAcentral. RNAcentral also lists the same sequence under 1 other name.
AGAUGCCGUUCUGCUACGGGUGCCCGCAAGGGCUUAAUCGGGAAGUCCGGGGGGCGGGGAAACCUGCCCGAUCCGGCACUGCUCCCGCAACUGUGACCGGGGAAGCGCACCGCCACGAUGCCAUUGGGACCACAAGGUCCCGAGAAGGCGGCGGACCAGCGCGAUGAUCCGGUAAGUCAGGAAACCGGCCCGUUGCCGUCGAUCCUU